Molecule: ribosomal RNA, 164 nt
Filed under: uncultured bacterium
Lineage: Bacteria
Description: partial 16S rRNA
Rfam family: Bacterial small subunit ribosomal RNA
Source: RNAcentral
UAGGGAAUCUUCCACAAUGGACGCAAGUCUGAUGGAGCAACGCCGCGUGAGUGAAGAAGGUCUUCGGAUCGCAAAACUCUGUUGUUAGAGAAGAACACGAGUGAGAGUAACUGUUCAUUCGAUGACGGUAUCUAACCAGCAAGUCACGGCUAACUACGUACCAG